AACGAACGCUGGCGGCAUGCCUAAUACAUGCAAGUCGAACGCGAUGGGGCAACCCAUUGGGUGGCGGACGGGUGAGUAACGCGUGGGAACCUGCCCAUCGGUACGGAAUAACCUCGGGAAACUGAGGCUAAUACCGUAUGCGCCCCAUGAGGAGACUUUGUGGGGAAGAUUAUCGCCGUUGAGGGCCGCGUCGAUAGUAGUGGUGAGUAACGGCUCACCAAGCCUUCGAUCCGUAGCNGGUCUGAGAGGAUGAUCAGCCACACUGGGACUGAGACACGGCCCAG
Molecule: ribosomal RNA, 284 nt
Filed under: uncultured bacterium
Lineage: Bacteria
Description: partial 16S ribosomal RNA
Rfam family: Bacterial small subunit ribosomal RNA
Source: RNAcentral